GCAUUCGCUAAUUUUGAAAUUGUACAUGACAUAGCCAAAUGGAUGUUUUAGUGUGGAGCAGCUAUGGACCAGAGGAUUCUACUGAAGAAUCCGUGGACACAAGUACAUUUUCUGAGGAAGAGCUUCUUGAUAUAACAUUUGAGGCAUGCAAUACCACUGGCACAGGUACAGAUCAUCUCUUGUAAUAACAGCUGUACAUUAGUGUUCUUUUUGUAUACUCGCAUGCUUCCUAAGUUUUUGUUCUCAAUAGGAGAGGUUCUGGCCUCCACGAUCAUGCAGUACCUGCAGACUAUGACUAGCCAGAGCCCAGAACAGGACAGGCUGAAUGCUUUGAAUUGUAUGCUGGACCCUGAGUGCCGGGACCCCGCUAUUAGCAGGGCCAAAUUCCAAUCCACCAUGAGGGAGUGGAUUGCCCAGUGCAGCCAGGAUGGGUAAAGAAAAAACCUUCAGACAGCUAACUGCUAUAGAAUGUUCAUCUGCAGCAGCCUUAUAAUCAACAACAUGCCUCAGAAAUUCUGAUUUGAAUUGAUUACAUCUGUUUGUGUGAUUUAUUUUUAUAUAACAUUGGUUAACCUGCUAAUCUGCUUUGUAUCUAUAAUUGGAGACUAAUGAUUGUUUGUAUCUUUCAGCAUGCAUGAGGACGACAAACAUAUUUCAGGGGAAAACUCUUGUAAAGUGUCUAUAAAUGGUAAGGUUUUGCUUUUGUAGGCAGCCUGGGAAUCUGUCUCAGAUAUCAGUGUAAUUCACUCAUUGUGUUGCUCUUUCACGGAUGGAUUUCUCAGGUCCUGAAACUGCCUUCUCAGAGAGAGAACAGUGUUAUUGUGACUCCAGGGAGCUGUUGGCCACUGUGUCUGAGCUGAAGCAUGCGCACAGUAGAAUGAGUAAGCAGAACAACAGCCUGUUGAGGACUGUAUCUCAGGGUGAGGACACCAACCUGCAGCUCACAGUGGAGAUCACUGAACUUAGUGCCAAGCUGGCCAGGUACUGUCUGUGAGGAUGGAGCAAUAUGUUGUUUUGAUAUGGUGGAACAUUAUAUGGAUUCAUUAUUGCAAGACGUGGUAGUUUACUGUUGUAAAACUGUUUAUGUGACAUCCCCAGUGCCCAGCGGUCAGCAAGGAGAACCUGGUCCCUUGUGGAGGAGCUUGAAGAUGCCAGGAGAUCCCUGAUGGAGGCACAGGAGAGAGCCAGCCAAGCCCAGGCUAGCAGCUGCAAACUGGUACUGCACUCAGCUCUUAGCAGGAGAUUACAUAUAAGGAAAUGGAAUAUAAGGAAAUGGUAUACAAAUGUCUUAGACCAGAGGGUGGAUGAUUUUUAUUGGAAUGCAUACAUUUCCAUAUACAUUUUUUUUCUUCAAUUUUAGAGCAAAGAAUGUGACUGUCUGAAAGCACACAUUAAAGUGCUUGAAGACAAGGUAAAUUUGAUCUUUAUUAUUAUUUCAUAAUAAAUGUACAAAGUGUGUGAUGUCACAUACUGUAUAUUAUAUGAGCGUGACACAAUCACUUUUAUAUCUGCAGAAUGAACAACUCACACUCGAGGGGACUUGUUCUGAAGAUUGUCUCAACAAAUUGAGAAAGGUUAAUGCUGAGAUGAGGGUAAGAACUGUUGGCCAGAACAUCUCUGUCUGUCACUGAGAUAAGAGUGCAGUAAUGGAGA
Molecule: long non-coding RNA, 1653 nt
Filed under: Oncorhynchus kisutch (coho salmon)
Lineage: Eukaryota; Metazoa; Chordata; Actinopteri; Salmoniformes; Salmonidae
Description: lncRNA (ENSOKIG00005042761.1)
Source: RNAcentral